CAGUGAUUCAGAAAAGUUGGGGAGGGACAUCUACUAGAAAGCUCAAUCUGAACAAAGCUUCUUUAAGGACAAUUUAAAUAGUUGCAUGAAACAAACAUUUUUAAAAAAAUCAUCAAAAGAUUAGUAUCUGGAUCAGCCAAACGGCUUUUCACAACUCCCUCCUGGUCACCAAAGGCAACACCGGAAAUUUCAAGUAAGAAGCAGCUUCCUGGUCCAGCAUCACUCAAUGGGGACAGGAUAUUACUGAGAUCACUGAUGGAUGACCUGUUCCUGCUCUUGUCUGCCCUUUUGUCCCAUGAUCAUGAGGCA
Molecule: long non-coding RNA, 309 nt
Filed under: Fukomys damarensis (Damara mole-rat)
Lineage: Eukaryota; Metazoa; Chordata; Mammalia; Rodentia; Bathyergidae
Description: lncRNA (ENSFDAG00000025927.1)
Source: RNAcentral